Molecule: long non-coding RNA, 966 nt
Organism: Brassica napus (rape)
Lineage: Eukaryota; Viridiplantae; Streptophyta; Magnoliopsida; Brassicales; Brassicaceae
Exons: 4
Source: RefSeq, a predicted model, not a curated record
UGUUUUGGUAAUAGAAACUCUUCUAUUGUGUUAUAAAAAACAUAAAACUGUCUCCCAAUGUAAUAUUCUCUUCUUUCUUCCUCUUCGAAUCCCAAUCACUCUAUCUUCUCUCUCACUUUUGAUCUCCAUCUCCUUCUCUUUACAAAGAGGUUGAUAUCUGGCGUGGGAGUAAUCGUUUCGGAUCCAUGGCUACAAAGCCAGCUCAUGCAAGUCGAGCUUCAUUCUCUCAAUUCCAAGUUUGCGGCGUUGAAGAAUUAGAGAAAUAAGGUUACGUUAGAGGAUCUUCCACCUGUGUUGGUGAAGGUGAAGUCACUCACCUAUGCGUUCAAGGAGAAAGAAAUCAAAGAGAUCUUACCAGAUUUGGCUUCUGAUUAGUUUUGUGAAUCCCUUUCGAUGUCUUAAAUGUGUUUCUUGGACUCGAAGAUAACUAAGAUAAUGUUUGUUUGUAUGAGCUUGUGAAAGAUGGUGUGCUUCUAUGGUAAAUGUAGAGUUUUUUUCAUUGAAUUGCAUCUUAGAUAUGGUUUCUGGGGGUUUGACUUGAUUCUUUUUUUGGCACAGUAAGUUUAUUAAUAUAGCAGUUUAUUAAUAUGGCAAUUCCUGGGACGAUUGAUGAACGAGCCAUCAACACGAAGAGAGUACUUAACUGUGGGAGAGAGAUGAAAAUCAUACGCUCUGUCUCAACUCUGCUAGAGCUGUUGGAAGCAACAUGGUUAAUAUUGGGACACAUGACCUAGCUGAAGGAUGGCCUCAUCUUGUGCUUGGAUUGAUCUCACAACUCAUAAAGUUUCAGCUCCUCGCUCAUCUUAGUUUGAAGAAGAUGCCUCAGCUUAUUGAGUUGGUGGUGAGGACAACCAAGUAAUGAUUAAGCAUAUCUCUUUUUGAAUUUUGACUAAUGUAUAUGUGUGUUGUAAAUAACAAUAAAUAGUUUCAUGUCUGUUGCAUGAUAUAGAAGAACUUCUGAGAUUA